RNAcentral lists this long non-coding RNA (239 nucleotides) under Elaeis guineensis (African oil palm). Its description in RNAcentral is "long non-coding RNA (EGUI_LNC081270)". Lineage: Eukaryota; Viridiplantae; Streptophyta; Magnoliopsida; Arecales; Arecaceae. The record is from RNAcentral.
UUGAUCCACUGUAGGAGUGAGGUGCGUAUCAAGAUAGGAUCUAUCGACCUUGAUAGAGAGGAGUAGUCCUAUAAGAUUUGAGAGACUAAGUCCAAGAGUCUGUGGCCACAGUAGUAUGAUUGAUGGAAAAGAAUUUUCAUAGAAGUCACAACUGGAUUUGAGCUAAUCAAUCUAUUAUAUGACUGAUGUUGAGGUUUGACGAUUUAUCCAUGACCUGCUAUCUAGUCAGGACUCACGAU